UACGUAGGGAGCGAGCGUUAUCCGGAUUUAUUGGGCGUAAAGCGUGCGUAGGCGGUUUAUUAAGUUUAAGAUAAAAGCCCGGGGCUCAACUCCGGUUCGUCUUAAAAACUGGUAGACUUGAGUGUGGUAGAGGUAAAUGGAAUUUCUAGUGUAGCGGUGAAAUGCGUAGAUAUUAGAAGGAACACCAGUGGCGAAGGCGAUUUACUGGGCCAUAACUGACGCUGAGGCACGAAAGCGUGGGGAGCAAAUAGG
This 252-nucleotide ribosomal RNA is filed under the name uncultured bacterium. RNAcentral's name for it is "partial 16S ribosomal RNA". It matches the Rfam family "Bacterial small subunit ribosomal RNA", at positions 524 to 776 of the family's 1533-position model. The record is from RNAcentral.